UACAGAGGUGGCAAGCGUUGUUCGGAAUUACUGGGCGUAAAGGGCGCGUAGGCGGUCCACUAAGUCGGCUGUGAAAGUCCAGGGCUCAACCCUGGGAUGCCGGUCGAUACUGGUGGACUAGAGUCCGGAAGAGGCGAGUGGAAUUCCCGGUGUAGCGGUGAAAUGCGCAGAUAUCGGGAGGAACACCAAUGGCGAAGGCAGCUCGCUGGGACGUUACUGACGCUGAGACGCGAAAGCGUGGGGAGCAAACAGG
RNAcentral lists this ribosomal RNA (253 nucleotides) under uncultured bacterium. RNAcentral describes it as "partial 16S ribosomal RNA". It matches the Rfam family "Bacterial small subunit ribosomal RNA", at positions 524 to 776 of the family's 1533-position model. The record is from RNAcentral.